AUGACACCCACAACCAUCAUGGUAUCCUUUUUCAUGGUUGCCCUCCUUCUAGGCCAAAACUUUGAUUUGGUAGCAGCAUCAAGGCCACUACAUCUACAUACACAUCCUCCAGCCAUACAUAUAGGAUCCCUGAACAAGCCAAUACCUCCUUCCAUUGGGCGGUUUACUAUAAACCGCUACAAGAUGACUGAGUCGUCGUCAGGCGCUGAUGCCUUCCGGCCAACUAGUCCCGGCCAUAGUCCUGGCGUUGGCCAUGAAAAUCCACCUGGUGCACCACUGUGA
RNAcentral lists this long non-coding RNA (282 nucleotides) under Prunus dulcis (almond). Its description in RNAcentral is "sRNA ncRNA". The record is from RNAcentral. Lineage: Eukaryota; Viridiplantae; Streptophyta; Magnoliopsida; Rosales; Rosaceae.